GUGCCAAAGCGUUGAUCAGGGGCAGCUUGACCUCGGGUGCACCCAUGCCCACAACCACUACUACUCCGCCGGAGCGAGUGGCCUGAAGGGAAACUGGUUAGUGACUGAUAAUCCACACAUACGCAGAUCCACUUACGAAGAUGGCCAGGCGGGCACUGCUCUCGGCUCCACAGCAGUCGAUGGACUUGUCCGGCACCUCGCUCAUCGUCUGGUGAACCACCUUGACGGUCUCCUCGGCGGACUGAUCCCGCUGCAGAAGCAGCGUGUGUGUGGCGCCCAGCUCCUUGGCAACAUCCAAACGCUGCUGCACCAGAUCGGUGAUAAGGAUCUCGGAUGCACCCAUAGCUUGGGCAGCCUAGGGUGACCAAACCAAUUGGACCAGCGCCCAGAAUGAGCACCUUUGAGCCCAGACCGACUCCUGCGCGACGGCAGGCGUGAACUCCCACGGACAGGGGCUCCAGCAGAGCUCCUUCCUCCAUGCUGACGUGAUCCGGCAGCUUGAAGCAAAAGUCGGCGGCGUGUUUGUAGUACCUGGUCAGGUUUCCAUCGUACGGAGGUGUGGCACAAAAGACCAUGUCGGCGCACAGGUUGUAUCGACCCUGCUUGCAGUGAUCGCAGUAGCGGCAGGGCACUCCCGGCUCAAUGGCCACGCGGUCGCCCACCUUGAGGGUGGUCACUUUCUUGCCCAGCUUGGCCACCACGCCGGCUGCCUCGUGGCCAAUGAUCAUCGGCUUGGUCAGCACAAAGUCCCCGAUGCGUCCGUGGGCAAGGUAGUGCACGUCGGAUCCGCAGAUGCCCACGCUGUCCAUGGCCAGGAGAACCUCUGAGCAGGAGAAAGCAAUAUGAAAGCUAUUAGAUGAAUGUAUCUAUUAAUCCAAUUCUAGGCAAU
This is a non-coding RNA of Drosophila melanogaster (fruit fly), 889 nucleotides long. NCBI's taxonomy places the organism in Eukaryota, Metazoa, Arthropoda, Insecta, Diptera, Drosophilidae. The record is from Ensembl.